This is a long non-coding RNA of Anopheles gambiae (African malaria mosquito), 5897 nucleotides long. RefSeq lists it as uncharacterized. Lineage: Eukaryota; Metazoa; Arthropoda; Insecta; Diptera; Culicidae. The record is from RefSeq and is a predicted model, not a curated record. The transcript has 3 exons.
GGCCCAACACUACCCUAGACGUUGCAGCUGCGUUGAUGUGGGUCCGUCUCGAGAGAUCGAUAGCAACCAUUUGUAGGUAAAAAGUGUGUGUGUGUGUGAGUGUGUGUGUGUGUGUGUGAGUGUGUGUGUGUGUGUGAGAGAGAGCGUGCUGGCUUCAAUUGCCACCAUGUUAAGGCCAUCAGGGUGUACGUGUAAAUUCGCGACGAAAUUGUGCCGAGCAGGGGAUUUUUUUGCUUUAUUUUUUUGCGCAAAAACACUUGGGGAAGUUCUCUUCGAGAGCAUCGUUUCUUAUCUUAUCGCUGAGGUUCGCUGUAUGCAAACAACACACCCGGUGUGACGGUGCGCACUUCCGAUGGGCCUGUGGUGGACCCGUUGCGAAAGUGUCCGCGCUCCAGCUGGGUCAGUCAGUCUGUACCCGUGCCUCUUGCCGCCGAGGAAUCUCUCUCGCGCUUCCGUGGUUUUUAGUGCCUUAGAUUACAAUUGUUCUCUCUGUCCUGUUUCUCUCUGUUUUGUUUACCAUUUGCGCCCUAUUCGCUUUUGCGGCCAUGGUGCGGUACAGUGCGGCGCUGGUGCUGCUGCUGGUCGUGGUGGUGUUGAUAAGCAGCGUGCCGGCACAGGCUACCGGGGCCGACCGCGCGGCCAUCCUGUCAACGCCACGGUCGCCGCGCCGGGUUAUCUUCUACAAGCCGGAACGUGACCAGAACGACACUAAGACUGUCAACAAGUCGAACAUUUUCGACUCGCCCAAGCUCUGCCAGCCCGGUUAUCAGCUCGAUCGGCACUCCCGGUGCCGUCGAGUGAUGGGUUAACUCCUCACACUUACAAACACACCUACACACAUAUACAAACCUACACACACACAAAUACCAUUCUCAUUCACUUCAAUACCUGACAGUGUGUAUGCAUGCGUCAACGGGCUUGGGAUUUCGUCCGGCUCUACUCGCAAGACAACGUUUCACUACCAACGCUGUCAAAGAGUCGGGCAGCGCUGCAUAAAACCAACCAGCAACUAGGAGUCCGGCAAACCUCACAACACCUUCAAGAAUGAGUGCACUGGGAACACGUUUGGGAGUGCAGCUUUCGGUGCUACUGCUGCUGCUCCUACUGCUGCCACCAUCAACCAGCGCGGUCAGAGUGAUCUUCCGUCGCCCGGAGAGCUCCACGGGCAGUGCCGCCGCCGCCGACGUCAACAAUGCCAACAUACUCCGGUCGCCUAAUCUGGUCGGCAGCAGCUGCGGCAACGGCCAGGUGACGGAUAGUCGUGGUAUCUGUCGCAAUACUAUAUCGUUUUGAUGCGUGGCACCUCCCUCCCCAAGGGUGUCGGAAAACGACGGCUAGUUCCUGGAAAGCUGCCCCAACUUCCCCAACCUCCGUACAUCUAUAGACAGCAUUAUCGUUCGUAGCUGGAGGUGCUUAAAUUUUAAGAACCGGUGACCGUGCAGCGCAGAUUAGCAGCUGAUAGAUAUUGGAUCCUGCGAUGUUUGCGUCUUCGACAAAACAAAGACAAAAAAGACAAAACAAACAGCAUCGUUGUACCAGUUCUUCCAAGACGCACGACGCAAGCUGGAGCUCAAAAAGCAGACCUACUUCAAACCCUAUUCGUCUAUAAGCCUCACGUUACCCCUAUCAACUGUUAUCAAUUUACGGCACCGUACGUCCAGUGCUUCUGAAUAAAAGCUACCAUCGUUCUAACUACUCUCGGCGUAUCUCGCUCACCUUGGAUCCAGCUCCAGGCCGUUUUGGGGCAUGUUUCCUAUCAUCAUCACCGAUAAACGUUCUUCACACUCAAUCGUACUCUGUGUGCAUCAUUUGUGCUGCGUUAUUGACAUACCGGUGCUAUGGUUUUCCUACGUAGUACCGCACAAUAUGAACCGAUUCUGUUUCAUAUCUUCUGAUGUACAGUGUGCAGACAAAUGCUCUUCCAGCAACUCUUCCAACGCACCAACUACGAUCAAACAAAACCCGCACGUUGGAGCUUUGCCUACGGUGAAUUAUUACUCUAUUUUCGUAAUAUUACCCCGCACGUUCGUGCUCGCCACUGACCAUCCCAAGCAACGGUGAUGCUAAAACAUGCAUCCGACCGGGUUCGAAAAGAUCUAUUGCAUCAGGGGUUUGGUACGGUUUUGGUUCGAGGACCUUUGCUGCACCUUUUCCUCCCCUUGCUGUCGCAUGCCCCAUACAACGUUCCAUGUAUCCACUACCCAUUUCCGAGCGAGCGACAGAACGGGAUGUUUGAUUUUGACCAGUCACACUGCAUAAAUCAAAAUGUUAUUAGAAUGCUUUAUGCCGUCGCAAACACGCUGGCGCAAACACAGACGGCAUAUCGAAGCUGGGUACGCUGGAAUAAGGGCCGGACAUUUACGGAAAAACGGAAAGGUGUUCAUAAUGCAAGUUCUCACAAAUUUACUUUCGAUGCUAGCUUUUAAAAUGUUAGUAACACAAUAUUAACAUUCAUAACAGGGCAUACAAAUGCCAAAAAUGGGUAACAGUAAGGUACAACUCUUAGCGUUACGGUGGCGCAAUGCGUUACGUCUGUGGGUCUCAAGCCGUUGCAACAUUUUCACUGCACGCUUGUUUUUGCCGUCGUUAUAGGGCAAUUUGGUGUGCGAUGGAGGGUGUUGCGACUUAAUUAAAUAGUUAAUUUUUCAAACAAAUUAUGAGCGCAUUCCGGUAAAAGAUGUCAAUACGAUACCACUUCACGAAACAAGAUAUUGUCAUGGACCUAUGAAAACUAUACGCUAAAAUGACCGCAGUUGAAGGUAUAACUGAUGAUUAGCUGUAUUAGCAUCCUGAAAAAUGAAUCCAGAAAACGACUUUAAUCUUAUCCCUAUCGAGAGUUUGUGACCGAUUUUUGUUGCAAGAAAGGAUACAACUGGCGUUGCAAAAAAAAACAGUGGACCCCUCAUAAAAAGUACUCCGUUACAACGAUUUUUUUCUCAUAACGAGCAACCUAAAUGCUUAAUAUCCUCUCAUAACUAGUAAAAUCUCACAUAACGAACUAUAUGAUUUGUGUUCCUAAACUGACAUUUGGAAGUGUUUCGUAUGACUACAAGUGUGCUGUACAACGUGUCGAAGAACAUUUGCUAAAAAAUCAAUUGUGAUGAAACUUGCUUACUUUGGAAAAAAGAUUAGCAGGAAUUCUCUUUCUCCUGACUCUUACUAGACGUAAACUGAUACAAGGUCGUUUUAAUAGUUAUUUUGCAGCAAUACAAAUAGUGAUUUGGAAUUGUUUCCUCUUAUGUCUGCAAGUAUCAUCCGGGCGAAGCGGUGGCUCUACACCAGUAAUAGAAAAUAGCGGAAGGAAAUAGCGAACUACAAACAUUAAAACUAUAAAUGGGGCCAUUCACGAUUCUAGUCAUUUUUUUGUAUGGAGUUUGACAGUUGGAUGCUGAAAUCAGGUAAACACUCCACACAAAAAACUAGCCUGCAAUUUUUAGUCUAGAUUAUUAGCCUCAAAGCUAGAAUUAGAUUCGAGCACCUGUUCGAAAACACGGUGUUGUUUACAUUUACCCCAAGGUGCAUUAAAGAGCUCACGUGGUGGAAUCUAGAAUCAAAGUGUAUGUAGUGCAGGUGGUCUCAUAGUAAGUUUUUUAAAACCAAAUUGAAAUAUCACUUUUUGACAGGAUGGGCGAAAACUUUUGUUCAAACAAACUUUCUCAAGGCUUGACGAAUACUCAAAACACUCUUAGUGUACUAGUUACUCUCAUGUACCAUUGCUAAUGCGUGAAACUAAAUACAUUUUAGGUACUUUUUCACUGUACCGGACAUUGGCUUGAAGGAAAGAGGGAUUUUAAAUGUUUGUGGAAUGUCUAUAAUGUGAGUGCAUACUAAAUAAUGCAACGAUUUGUUUUUCAUUUGCAGAUUCGAUUUCCGAUGAAUUUUGUUUCCAAACAUCUCCUAAAGAAUUUUUUUGGUUACAUCCGCUUGAUAACACCUACAUUUGCGGCCCUUUUCGGUUGAACUUCGGUACAACAAGCUUAACAAGAUAAACACUUCUCUGAAACAGCAACGCGUUCUCAGAAGAAACACGGGCGAUGGCGGCAAGAUCGUCCGACCGUGCGCCAGUGCGGUAACGUAUUGCGCUUAUCUCGUCACACUAACGAAACAUAUGCACCGUCACACAAACGAAUACAUAACGUUUCGGUACGCUUAGCGGCAGCCAUCCGUGACCGAAACCCGUGCAACGGCAGUCGAAGCUUUCCGUGCCGGUCGCGUACGUAAAUGUCAAUUAACCGCAAAUCUAGUGUGGAUUUCACCAAACCCACGGCCUACUGGACGGGCGUGGGAGUACUGCCCUGUGCCCGUUGGCAGCAGUGCUAGAAUAAAAACCUCAACCUCAAGCAGCAAAGGGCCGCAGUUCUUGGUCGUCACUGGUGAAUGAAAUGAAUUUAUGUGAGGUUUACGGUUCCUCUCCGGCAUGUAACUGCUGUCGGUGCUCGAUUUUGUUUACUUUCCGCCUGUGCGCACGGUUACAGUACAACACCCCUAGAUCUUGUGUUAGACGUACUCCGACGCGAGCGCUCGCAUGAUCACACUAUUCGUGGUGAUAAAUUAAUAAAUUUGUAAAAACUAACCAAUUCCUCUCUGACCUGACGGGCGGGCAAAGACGUUCCCGCCGGACACCGCAACACCGAUGCUCACGAAGACGAUGAGGGCCGGAACUGAGCCGGAACACCCCGGAAAAGGACCCAGGCUUUCAGACGCUCCGAAUGAAUGUUUGUUUGGGCUUACGGUGCGACUGGUCGUAUGUGAACAUGUGUGUGAUUGUGUAUGGGUCUGUGAAUGUGUGUAUGUGUAAGUAGUGGUGAUGCAUUUACCGCCUUAGAUUUUCUAUCUGCUGCCCGGCCGAGUCGCUUCAAAAGGCUCUUUUCCAAAAUCAACCAUUCCCCCGUACGUGCAGUUUGUCCCCUGUCGGGGUCGGGCGAAAGCUCCACUUCUUUUGGGACCGAGAGCCAAAUGAAAAUGGAUGCCAAUUUCGGGAAGAUACUGGUGGCAGCUGGAGCUAAAUUAUGAUUUGAUGAUUUGCCGAACGGUAACGCUGAAACUUUUUGCCCGCAACCCCGAUUAGCUGCUCGCUCAUUGCGUGACUAGACUGGAUGAGAUAACCUCAAAGUACACAGCUGCGAUCCAGGCGGUCAGCUUGCUUUCACUUAACCCGGUGCCCAAUUUAAUGAGAGCGUCUUCCGUCAAUCGAUUGUACGGUUAAGAAAAUGCUGCUCCAAAAAUAAAUAACGAAAAAAAAUAUAUUACAACGAACGGAUGAAAUGCUGCACGAGAGAUCAUCGAGAGUGAGUGCGGGUCCCGGGCUCACAGUAAGUCACUACGCCAAUUCAUCAAAACGGUAGACUGGUUGAGUUGGCGCUGAUGGUAGCAAUGGCGUCGGAAGCCUCGGGCCUCGGUAUGGAUCCCGCAGACGACAUAAAAGUAACAUUCGCACACAUGCUCGUGGAUCUCACCGGUAACGUGCUUUCGGGAACGCACAGGACCGGCACAUUGCACAAUGGGUAGUUUGGAACAAAUUUCGGGAUAAAACUAUUUUCGCAGAAAUUGUUAGUUUUUAUCGUUUGUAGUCAAGUAUUAUGAUUAAAGUAAAUUACAUUUUAAAUGUAGCUCGCAUUCAUACCACCAGGUGGCACUACAUAAAAUAGUGCUUUAAAGGAACUUUGAUUAGUUUUAUUAAUUUUGUAUCUGUUUUUUUCUUUGAUUUGUUGUUUCUAAUAUUGUAGACAAUUUUAAAAUAUACUUUUGAAGACAAUAUUUUCCGCUUUUUAUAGGACAACAGUAUUCUCUUCACUUUUACUCACAGGUAGUAAGAAUAUUAAAAAUAUACAUACACAACUUAGGUGGAUGCUAUUACAAGCUCCUAACGUCUAGUUCUCAUUUGUAAAGACAUGAAU